This 554-nucleotide ribosomal RNA is filed under the name Malapterus reticulatus. Its description in RNAcentral is "partial 16S ribosomal RNA". It matches the Rfam family "Bacterial large subunit ribosomal RNA", at positions 1844 to 2597 of the family's 2925-position model. Lineage: Eukaryota; Metazoa; Chordata; Actinopteri; Labriformes; Labridae. The record is from RNAcentral.
AAUAAGAGGUCCCGCCUGCCCGGUGACUAUAAGUUUAACGGCCGCGGUAUUUUGACCGUGCAAAGGUAGCGCAAUCACUUGUCUCUUAAAUGGAGACCUGUAUGAAUGGCAUCACGAGGGCUUAACUGUCUCCUUUUUCCAGUCAAUGAAAUUGAUCUCCCCGUGCAGAAGCGGGGAUUAGCACAUAAGACGAGAAGACCCUAUGGAGCUUUAGACACCAAGGCAGACUAUGUUAAACACCCCAAAUCAAAGGUCCAAACUAAAUAUCUCCUGCCCUAAUGUCUUUGGUUGGGGCGACCAUGGGGAGAUAAACAACCCCCACGUGGAAUAGAAGCACUGCUUCCAAAACAAAGAGCUCCCGCUCUAAGUAACAAAAUUUUUGACCAACAAGAUCCGGCAAUGCCGAUCAACGGACCGAGUUACCCUAGGGAUAACAGCGCAAUCCUCUUUAAGAGCCCAUAUCGACAAGAGGGUUUACGACCUCGAUGUUGGAUCAGGACAUCCUAAUGGUGCAGCCGCUAUUAAGGGUUCGUUUGUUCAACGAUUAAAGUCCU